This 78-nucleotide transfer RNA is filed under the name Puteibacter caeruleilacunae. RNAcentral's name for it is "Prolixibacteraceae bacterium JC036 tRNA-Val". It matches the Rfam family "tRNA". From Rfam's summary of the family: Transfer RNA (tRNA) molecules are approximately 80 nucleotides in length. Lineage: Bacteria; Pseudomonadati; Bacteroidota; Bacteroidia; Marinilabiliales; Prolixibacteraceae. The record is from RNAcentral.
GGGCGAUUAGCUCAGUUGGUUCAGAGCACUUGGUUUACACCCAAGGGGUCAUAAGUUCGAAUCUUAUAUCGCCCACUA